This 492-nucleotide ribosomal RNA is filed under the name uncultured bacterium. RNAcentral describes it as "partial 16S ribosomal RNA". It matches the Rfam family "Bacterial small subunit ribosomal RNA", at positions 29 to 507 of the family's 1533-position model. The record is from RNAcentral.
AGUGAACGCUGGCGGUAGGCCUAACACAUGCAAGUCGAACGGCAGCACAGUAAGAGCUUGCUCUUACGGGUGGCGAGUGGCGGACGGGUGAGGAAUACAUCGGAAUCUACUUUUUCGUGGGGUAUAACGUAGGGAAACUUACGCUAAUACCGCAUACGACCUACGGGUGAAAGCAGGGGAUCUUCGGACCUUGCGCGAUUGAAUGAGCCGAUGUCGGAUUAGCUAGUUGGCGGGGUAAAGGCCCACCAAGGCGACGAUCCGUAGCUGGUCUGAGAGGAUGAUCAGCCACGCUGGAACUGAGACACGGUCCAGACUCCUACGGGAGGCAGCAGUGGGGAAUAUUGGACAAUGGGCGCAAGCCUGAUCCAGCCAUACCGCGUGGGUGAAGAAGGCCUUCGGGUUGUAAAGCCCUUUUGUUGGGAAAGAAAAGCAGCAGGUUAAUACCCCGCUGUUCUGACGGUACCCAAAGAAUAAGCACCGGCUAACUUCGUG